GUGAAAGCACUCUGGCUAUGACGUCUGUCACCUCAUUGAUCGCCAGGGUUGAUUUGGCUGAUCUGGCUGGCUAGGCGGGUGUCACCUUCCUCCCUCACCCUACCGAAGCUGCACACUUGGUGGAAGAGGACAACGUGUUCCCUCACUAAUUCGCGGUUCACUUUUUGUGGAUUCGCUGUUUCACGGUUUUUCAAUAAACUCUAAAAGAAUAUUAUAAAUCAUAAAAAAUUACAACUUACAGCCUA
Molecule: small nuclear RNA, 245 nt
Filed under: Anolis carolinensis (green anole)
Lineage: Eukaryota; Metazoa; Chordata; Lepidosauria; Squamata; Anolidae
Description: 7SK RNA
Rfam family: 7SK RNA
About the family: 7SK was discovered as an abundant small nuclear RNA in the mid-70s but a possible function has only recently been suggested.
Source: Rfam by way of RNAcentral